UCAGUGUGGAAAAACUUUCAGCCAGAGAGGAAACCGAAAUAUACACCGACGCAUUCACAGCAGACAUGAUGUGUACUGCUGUGAUCAGUGUGGCAAAUACUUUGCUACAGACACACAGUUACAAUGACACACGUUUACCCACACUGAGGGACGACCUUAUGAAUGUGACCUGUGUGAGAAGACUUUUAAAUCUCCACAUUCCCUGAGACGACACCAACAGAUCCACACCAGAAAGAGACUCUACAAGUGCUACUGUGAGAAGCAGAGCGACACAGAUGGAUCCAGUUCUCAACCCUGUCAUCGCUGUGGUGGUGGGAAAGACUUUUGUUGUGACAUCUGUGGAAAAACUUUCAGUCAGCAAGCCGGCCUAAAAAUACAUCAACAUAGACACACUGGAGACAAACUGAAAUACUGCAAAGAAUGUGGGAGAAGCUUCACCACAUCACGUGACUUAAAAAAACAUGAACUGAUUCACAGUGGGGUUAAAAAGCACCUCUGUGAUCAGUGUGGGUCAUCCUUCACCACUGCAUGGGAGCUUAAAACACACAAACGAGUCCACACAGGAGAGAAACCGUACAAGUGCAGACACUGUGACAGAAGCUUCUCACACUCAAAUGGUCGUAACUAUCAUGAACGUGCACACAUGGAAGGAAACUACAGCUGUGAUCAGUGUGACAAGAGCUUCAGGAAUCUCAGUUCAUACUCCAAACACAAACGAUCCCACGUUACUAAUAAACUGUUUCACUAUUACCAAUGUGCCCAAACAUUCACCUCAUUGUCUGCUCUGUGCAAACAUCAGCGUGAUCACUCAGGGCUGAAAUCACUCCCAUCACAGUGAAUCUGAAGAGACAGAAAGAUCCUCUGGUUUCAGAGUCAGACUCAAAAAGCUUGAGUUCAUUGUUCUCCAGCAAAACGUUUUGGAAACUCAUGUUUAACCUGUAAAUCUCUGACAUGUUUUAGCACACAAGGCUUCAUCGGGGAGUUCACUCAUGAUUGGAGAAUAAAGGUUUUUAGUUCUUUCAAAGAGACUCUUGGAGCUGUUUGAUGUUUUUGUUUUUCUGAAACCACCUGAAAGAAAAACUAUUUUUCUUGCUUUAUGUAGUGUGGAAGUUUUUAAUGUUUCUUUCAUCUGUGAUGUUCUUGAAUGUGUUCACAUGAAGCUGGUACAAAUAAACUGUCCUUUUAGCUUUA
Long non-coding RNA from Oreochromis niloticus (Nile tilapia), 1191 nucleotides. RefSeq lists it as uncharacterized. The record is from RefSeq and is a predicted model, not a curated record. NCBI's taxonomy places the organism in Eukaryota, Metazoa, Chordata, Actinopteri, Cichliformes, Cichlidae. The transcript has 2 exons.